This 2449-nucleotide long non-coding RNA is filed under the name Homo sapiens (human). Its description in RNAcentral is "non-protein coding lnc-GRM4-2:3". Lineage: Eukaryota; Metazoa; Chordata; Mammalia; Primates; Hominidae. The record is from RNAcentral.
GCAGGAAGUGAGAACAGCGCUGGGCUCUCGUGCCUGCUGGGAGAACCUGCAGAAGUGGAGAUAAAGAAACAGGCUCAGAGAGGAAGAGAUGGUUAACAGCUAGAGCUGUCCAACAAUGGACCAGACCAGGUGGCCUCAUGAGGUGGUGAGUUCCCUGUCACUCUGGGUAUUCAAGCAGAGAUUGAAGGGCUAGCUGUCAAAGGGCUAUGGAGGAAAUCCUGCAGAAGGUGGGCUUUGGACUACAUGGCCAUGGGGUCCUUCCCAACUUUGAGCUUGUGUGAGUCUUUGGGAAAGAUGGACUAAGCUGGAUUUCAGGGGCAGGGCCCCAGGCCCCAAGCGGAAGGAUGGCUAAGUGAGAGUGGUCACUACACUGGUGGCUUCCAAACCAUGGCUGCAGACCCCUGGGGCACUCUGCAGGGACUUCAGAGUCCACACAUGUUUGACUUAAAGUUCACUUUCCGCCGGGUGCGGUGGGUCACGCCUGUAAUUCUAGCACUUUGAGAGGCCAAGGUGGGCGGAUCACUUGAGGCCAGGAGUUUGAGACCAGCCUGGCCAAGAUGGUGAAACCCCGACUCUACUAAAAAUACAAAAAUUAGAAGGCCUGGUGGCACAUGCCUGUAAUCCCAACUACUUGGGAGGCUGAGGCAGGAGAAUUUCUUAAACCCCGGAGGCGGAGGUUGCAGUGAGCUGAGAUGGCGCCACUGCACUCCAGCCUGGGUGACAGAGCAAGACUCUGUCUCAGGAAAAAAAAAAGUUCAUUUUCAAUACAGUUUUUAUGAUGAAAUAGUAUCUAAAAACAAAUACAGGCUGGCAAUUAUGUUAUACAAUUUUUAACCCACAUAAAAUCACUAGAAAGGCUGCUUUGGGUGGCUCUGGGGCUAAAGAUUCUCCUACAUCUGCAUUUAAUUGAGAGCCUUGCAAGGAGGGAAAAUAUUGAAAAACAAAAGCCCCUCUUUUAACUUGCACUUCCUUAUCUGUAUGAAUAAGUGAUGGCGUACAACACAACACAGUGCAGAAAGAACUCGUAGGCCGAGCCUGAUGCAGCAUGGAAACCGUCACAGUAAUCCCUUAUUUCUGUCUCACAGUCAGCAAAACAGCCUUGUUCGCAUCUGAUCUAAUCUUAUUAUAAUGCUGUCUUCUAUUACAGUAAGAAUAAGGCGUGCAUGUGAACAUAUCCGGCGUUCGUAUUCAUAGAAUAUGACUUUUAUCUGUUUUACACAUUGUGAUUCCUCUUAGACUUCAUUUGAGAAAAGAGUUUUACUGUUGAACAUACUGGGACGCCCCCAUGGUGAAGUGGCUGAUGCUGCCACUCCAAGUUCUUUCUAAGCAAGGUGGGGUGGGGGUAUGGGACCGGGGCCUGCAGCCCCUGCCUCUCCUUACUCUCAGGCCGCCACCUCAUGACAGCACCCAUGGUGGACGCCUGUCCCUGGGCCCCAAGCCUGACCCCACUGCUGUGGGUGCAGGGGUGAAUGGGGUAGCUGGAGCCCCUGGCUGACUCUUCCCCAGGAGGGCAGUGUGAGGAAGAGGCAGUGGUGGUGAUGGAGGAUGCUCAGCAGCCCACCUGAAGGCCUAUGUGAUGCCGCGCACGGGAGGCCACGUGUAAGCAGGAGUGAGGCGGGAGCAAGGAGCCACAGAUACAGCAAGCAUGGGAAGACGUGAGUCCUCGGCCAGGGUUGAAGGGCCGGUGGACAGGAGCUGGUCUCCACCUGGGUGGGAAACACCUCCGCUCCUGUUCCGUGGAUCUGACCAAGAGGCCCAGAAGUUGUGCUGCCCUGGGCACUGCACCAUCUCCCUGCUAGAAUUCCCUUCGGAUCUCGCCAGUCUGCCAGGGCUGUUUAUGCAGUCUGAUGAUGCCUAUGGCCUCAUUUCUAUCACAUGUGGCUGCCCCUAUCGACUCUCCGACCCUCAUACCAAAAUAACCCACCUGGCCUGACCAGUGAGACCCAAGGCCUCCUCUCCACACAGGCCCCGGGGAUGGCCCUGAUGAGCCAAAGUUUGGGGGUCAAAACACCAACCUUAUCUCAUAUAAUUCAUUCCUCUCCCUACCCUUGAUCAACCCUGGUCUUAAGUCUGCUGCUCCAACCCCCCAAGCCGCCUCCUGCCCCAGGGCCUUUGAACCUACUCAGUCCUCCUGGAGCUUCUUUCCUUCAGAGCUUUGCACAGUGUGCUGCUUCUUAGCCUCAGGUCACACCUCAGGUGUCACCUCCCCAGACAGCCUCCCCUGACCACCUCUUCCAGUGUAACUACCCCUACUCUGUCACCAUUCACACAUCCACUUGGAUUAUCUUUUUUCCAUGGCAGCUCGCAUUUUCUGCGAUUAUCUUGUUUACAUCUUUUCUAGGGUAUUUUGUUUUUCUGCAGCAGAAUGUCAGCUCCACAAGGAGCUGUCUUGUUCAUUCCUGUGUCUGCUGUCCCUAGCACCAUGACUGCACACAGUAGGCACCCAGCC